RNAcentral lists this ribosomal RNA (720 nucleotides) under Bacillus zhangzhouensis. RNAcentral's name for it is "bacterial SSU rRNA". It matches the Rfam family "Bacterial small subunit ribosomal RNA", at positions 62 to 763 of the family's 1533-position model. The record is from RNAcentral. Lineage: Bacteria; Bacillati; Bacillota; Bacilli; Caryophanales; Bacillaceae.
UCGAGCGGACAGAAGGGAGCUUGCUCCCGGAUGUUAGCGGCGGACGGGUGAGUAACACGUGGGUAACCUGCCUGUAAGACUGGGAUAACUCCGGGAAACCGGAGCUAAUACCGGAUAGUUCCUUGAACCGCAUGGGUCAAGGAUGAAAGACGGUUUCGGCUGUCACUUACAGAUGGACCCGCGGCGCAUUAGCUAGUUGGUGGGGUAAUGGCUCACCAAGGCGACGAUGCGUAGCCGACCUGAGAGGGUGAUCGGCCACACUGGGACUGAGACACGGCCCACACUCCUACGGGAGGCAGCAGUAGGGAAUCUUCCGCAAUGGACGAAAGUCUGACGGAGCAACGCCGCGUGAGUGAUGAAGGUUUUCGGAUCGUAAAGCUCUGUUGUUAGGGAAGAACAAGUGCGAGAGUAACUGCUCGCACCUUGACGGUACCUAACCAGAAAGCCACGGCUAACUACGUGCCAGCAGCCGCGGUAAUACGUAGGUGGCAAGCGUUGUCCGGAAUUAUUGUGCGUAAAGGGCUCGCAGGCGGUUUCUUAAGUCUGAUGUGAAAGCCCCCCGGCUCACCCGGGGAGGGUCAUUGGAAACUGGGAAACUUGAGUGCAGAAGAGGAGAGUGGAAUUCCACGUGUAGCGGUGAAAUGCGUAAAGAUGUGGAAGGAACACCAGUGGCGAAGGCGACUCUCUGGUCUGUUACUGACGCUGAGGAGCGGAAGCGUG